GGCUGGUCCCAGGGUAGUGAGUUAUCUCAGUUGACUGUUCACAGUCCGUUUCAUAUUGACCUCUUUGUUCUACUCUUUCUCACUACAGCACUUGACUAGCCUAGG
Molecule: Y RNA, 105 nt
Filed under: Carlito syrichta (Philippine tarsier)
Lineage: Eukaryota; Metazoa; Chordata; Mammalia; Primates; Tarsiidae
Description: Y RNA (ENSTSYG00000022009.2)
Rfam family: Y RNA
About the family: Y RNAs are components of the Ro ribonucleoprotein particle (Ro RNP), in association with Ro60 and La proteins. The Y RNAs and Ro60 and La proteins are well conserved, but the function of the Ro RNP is not known. In humans the RNA component can be one of four small RNAs -- hY1, hY3, hY4 and hY5.
Source: Rfam by way of RNAcentral